Molecule: ribosomal RNA, 254 nt
Filed under: uncultured bacterium
Lineage: Bacteria
Description: partial 16S ribosomal RNA
Rfam family: Bacterial small subunit ribosomal RNA
Source: RNAcentral
UGCGGAGGGUGCAAGCGUUAAUCGGAAUUACUGGGCGUAAAGAGCUCGUAGGUGGUUUGUCGCGUCGUCUGUGAAAUUCCGGGGCUUAACUCCGGGCGUGCAGGCGAUACGGGCAUAACUUGAGUACUGUAGGGGAGACUGGAAUUCCUGGUGUAGCGGUGAAAUGCGCAGAUAUCAGGAGGAACACCGGUGGCGAAGGCGGGUCUCUGGGCAGUAACUGACGCUGAGGAGCGAAAGCGUGGGUAGCAAACAGG